GACGAACGCUGGCGGUGUGCUUAACACAUGCCAGUCGAACGGUAAGGCCCUUUCGGGGGUCCACGAGUGGCGAACGGGUGCGUAACACGUGAGUAACCUGCCCUCAUCUCUGGGAUAACAGUCGGAAACGGUUGCUAAUACUGGAUAUGAGCUUGCAAGGCAUCUUGUGGGUUGGAAAGAUUUUUUUUGGUUGGGGAUGGACUCGCGGCCUAUCAGCUUGUUGGUGAGGUAGUGGCUCACCAAGGCUUCGACGGGUAGCCGGCCUGAGAGGGCGACCGGCCACAUUGGGACGGAGAUACGGCCCAAACUCCUACGGGAGGCAGCAGUGGGGAAUAUUGCACAAUGGACGGAAGUCUGAUGCAGCAACGCCGCGUGCGGGAUGACGGCCUUCGGGUUGUAAACCGCUUUCAAUUGUGACGAAGCUUUUUUGUGACGGUAGCAGUAGAAGAAGCACCGGCUAACUACGUG
This 468-nucleotide ribosomal RNA is filed under the name uncultured bacterium. Its description in RNAcentral is "partial 16S ribosomal RNA". It matches the Rfam family "Bacterial small subunit ribosomal RNA", at positions 28 to 507 of the family's 1533-position model. The record is from RNAcentral.